GCUGGGCGUGGUGGUGGGCACCUGUAAUCCCAGCUACUUGGGAGGCUGAGGCAGGAGAAUCGCUUGAACCCAGGAGGCGGGGGUUGCAGUGAGCUGAGAUCACACCACUGUGCUCCAGCCUGGGUGACAGAGCGACACUCUGUCUCAA
Pongo abelii (Sumatran orangutan) is the source of this 148-nucleotide unclassified non-coding RNA. It matches the Rfam family "Metazoan signal recognition particle RNA". Rfam says of the family: The signal recognition particle (SRP) is a universally conserved ribonucleoprotein. It is involved in the co-translational targeting of proteins to membranes. The eukaryotic SRP consists of a 300-nucleotide 7S RNA and six proteins: SRPs 72, 68, 54, 19, 14, and 9. NCBI's taxonomy places the organism in Eukaryota, Metazoa, Chordata, Mammalia, Primates, Hominidae. The record is from Ensembl.